Molecule: ribosomal RNA, 380 nt
Filed under: uncultured bacterium
Lineage: Bacteria
Description: bacterial SSU rRNA
Rfam family: Bacterial small subunit ribosomal RNA
Source: RNAcentral
GAUGAACGCUGGCGGCGUGCCUAACACAUGCAAGUCGAGCGAUUCUCUUCGGAGAAGAGCGGCGGACGGGUGAGUAACGCGUGGGUAACCUGCCCUGUACACACGGAUAACAUACCGAAAGGUAUGCUAAUACGAGAUAAUAUGCUUUUAUCGCAUGGUAGAAGUAUCAAAGCUUUUGCGGUACAGGAUGGACCCGCGUCUGAUUAGCUAGUUGGUAAGGUAAUGGCUUACCAAGGCGACGAUCAGUAGCCGACCUGAGAGGGUGAUCGGCCACAUUGGAACUGAGACACGGUCCAAACUCCUACGGGAGGCAGCAGUGGGGAAUAUUGCACAAUGGGCGAAAGCCUGAUGCAGCAACGCCGCGUGAGCGAUGAAGGCCU